Molecule: ribosomal RNA, 333 nt
Filed under: uncultured bacterium
Lineage: Bacteria
Description: partial 16S ribosomal RNA
Rfam family: Bacterial small subunit ribosomal RNA
Source: RNAcentral
CCUACGGGGGGCUGCAGUCGAGAAUCAUUCACAAUGGGGGAAACCCUGAUGGGGCGACGCCGCGUGGGGGAAUGAAGGUCUGCGGAUUGUAAACCCCUGUCAUGUGGGAGCAAAGUAAAAAGAUAGUACCACAAGAGGAAGAGACGGCUAACUCUGAGCCAGCAGCCGCGGUAAGACAGAGGUCUCAAGCGUUGUGCGGAAUCACUGGGCGUAAAGGGUUCGGAGGCUGUUUCGUAAGUCGUGUGUGAAAGGCGCGGGCUCAACCCGCGGACGGCACAUGAUACUGCGAGACUAGCGUACUGGAGGGGGAACCGGAAUUCUCGGUGUAGCCGU